Molecule: ribosomal RNA, 279 nt
Filed under: uncultured bacterium
Lineage: Bacteria
Description: partial 16S ribosomal RNA
Rfam family: Bacterial small subunit ribosomal RNA
Source: RNAcentral
UGCCAGCCGCCGCGGUAAUACGGAGGGUGCAAGCGUUAUCCGGAAUUACUGGGUUUAAAGGGUGCGUAGGCGGGUAAAUAAGUCAGAGGUGAAAUCUACCAGCUUAACUGGAAAAUUGCCUUUGAAACUGUUUAUCUUGAAUUGAGUUGAGGUCAGCGGAAUGUGACAUGUAGCGGUGAAAUGCAUAGAUAUGUCAUAGAACGUCGAUUGCGAAGGCAGCUGGCUAGGCUUUUAUUGACGCUGAGGCACGAAAGCGUGGGGAGCGAACAGGAUUAGAUA